UUAGCACUUUCACAGGUCCUCCUCCAGGCAGUGGGGCCAGGAUUUGGUAGCUGGUGCUGAGAGAAAACCCCCUGGAUUGCAUCCUUGCCCUGGCACUGUGCCAGCGGCAUCUGUCACUCAGUGGGACAAAG
Sorex araneus (European shrew) is the source of this 131-nucleotide small nucleolar RNA. Lineage: Eukaryota; Metazoa; Chordata; Mammalia; Eulipotyphla; Soricidae. The record is from Ensembl.